UCUCUGAUUUGAAAUUCCUCUUGCAGAUGUCACUGUCCACGAGGCUUCAAUGGUUAUCGCUGUGAAUCCAACAUAGAUGACUGUACAAACCAUUCCUGCCAGAAUAAUGCCACUUGUAUUGAUUUAGUGGAAACAUAUACCUGUCAAUGUCCUAUUGGUUAUAUAGGUAAACACUGUCAGAAGAAAAUUGUGUUUUGUGAAGGAGAGUAUGAUAUGUGUGAGAAUGGUGCUACCUGUAAGCCUAAAGGUGAUGAUUACAGCUGCGAAUGUCUACCAGGUUACACAGGUAAAAAUUGUUCAGAAAACAUAGAUGAAUGCCGCUCUCAUAUUUGUCAGAAUGGUGCCAAAUGCAUGGAUGGCCUCAAUGGAUACACGUGUAUUUGCCCACCUGGUUACCUAGGCAACUUCUGUGAAAUAGCACCAAUCCAACAGUCAGGUGUACAACAACCCAGUGCCUGCCUUCACCACGAAUGUAAAAACAAUGGACUUUGUUAUUUGCCUUCCACCACAUCCGACUACAUGUGCCGCUGUGCCGCAGGUUUUGCCGGCAAGAAAUGUGAAAAGCUUCAUACAGUUUCCCUACACGAAGAAGAUUCAUACAUAAAGUUGCCACCAUUACAGGUAGACCCUAAAGCCAAUAUAACCAUUGUAUUCUCUGCUAAGCAAGACAAUGGUAUUUUGCUCUACACCGGCUUUGAACAACAUGUCGCAGCAGAGUUGUUCCGAGGCCGAAUUAGGAUCAGUUUUGAUGUUGGCAACUAUCCAGUAUCUUCAAUGUUCAGCUUCAAAACAGUAAACGAUGGCAACUUCCAUCAUUUGCAAAUGAUGAUUGAGAAAAAGAAUUUCACCAUGAUUGUCGAUGGAGGCAUUUCCCGUACCAUUGUGAACGAAGGAUCUCGUGAGAGUCUGGAUGUCACUGAUUCCUUGUAUCUUGGAGGACUUCCUCCUGAUGUCAAUGACAGGGCUCUGAAAAAUUGGCAUAUACGAGACAAAGCUAGCUUUGUUGGAUGUCUCCAAAAAGUCUUGAUUAACGGACACCAAUUAGACUUCAGCUCAUCACUUUACAACCAUAAACUAAUCCCUGGAUGCCAAGAGUUAAAAAAGCAAGAUCCAUGCGCAAACCACAAAUGUAAGCAUGGCAAGUGCACCAGUCGUAAAGACAGUACUUAUAAAUGCCGGUGUCGGGAAGGUUAUUCUGGAACAUACUGUGAUGUAGGUGAAGAUAUAGAAGUGAAAAAGAUGAACCCCUGUGACAAACAUGAUUGUAGGCAGGGUCGAUGUACCCCCCAGAAGGACAACACAUAUAAAUGUCGCUGUAGACGUGGUUACACUGGCCAAAGAUGUGACAUAGCACCAACUUGCCGUGACAUAGCCUACAAAGAGACCCACAAGGACCCUAAGACAGGCUGCAAAUCACGGACCAAGGUGAAAUUUCGGCGCUGUGAGGGUUCAUGCGGCCGUCACUGUUGCAAGCCGAAGAAAAUCAAAACCCGCCGUGUACGACUGUUCUGUGCAGAUGGAACCAAUUUCGUCUAUAACCUACCAGUGAUCCGAAAGUGUGGUUGCAAGCGCUGCUGACAGAGGUCACUGCCUGGGGCAGGGGGUUGGAAAGGGCUAUAUAUGUUUACAUAUAGACUUACACACAUGCAUACACAUAUAUACACACAGUCAUCUACAGAUGUGUGGAUUUACAUAUAUGCAACUGCAUGUGCAUGUAUAUAUAUAUACUUAUGCAUAUACAUAUAUAUACGUGAAUAGAGAAAAUGAACAUGUGUGAGAGAGAGAGAGAGGACAAGAAAACGAUGGAAUAAAUGAAUUUUGGAUAGAUAGAUAGAUAGAUAGAUAGAUAGAUAGAUAGAUAGAUAGAUAGAUAGAUAGAUAGAUAGAUAGAAUUGUAGAUGAAUGGAGAGAAGUAGAAUGAAGGG
Molecule: unclassified non-coding RNA, 1925 nt
Filed under: Octopus sinensis (East Asian common octopus)
Lineage: Eukaryota; Metazoa; Mollusca; Cephalopoda; Octopoda; Octopodidae
Description: protein slit-like, transcript variant X6
Source: RNAcentral